This 229-nucleotide ribosomal RNA is filed under the name uncultured bacterium. RNAcentral's name for it is "partial 16S ribosomal RNA". It matches the Rfam family "Bacterial small subunit ribosomal RNA", at positions 568 to 796 of the family's 1533-position model. The record is from RNAcentral.
UGCGUAGGCGGAAUAUUAAGUCAGUGGUGAAAUCCUGCGGCUCAACCGUAGAACUGCCAUUGAUACUGAUAUUCUUGAAUGUAGUUGAGGUAGGCGGAAUGUGUAAUGUAGCGGUGAAAUGCUUAGAUAUUACACAGAACACCGAUUGCGAAGGCAGCUUACUGAACUAUGAUUGACGCUGAGGCACGAAAGCGUGGGGAGCGAACAGGAUUAGAUACCCUGGUAGUCC